AACGAACGCUGGCGGCAUGCCUAACACAUGCAAGUCGAACGAGACCUUCGGGUCUUGUGGCGCUCGGGUGCGUAACGCGUGGGAACUUGCCCUUAGGUUAGGAAUAACUCCCCGAAAGGGGUGCUAAUACCGGUUAAGCUCUUCGGACCAAAGAUUUAUCGCCUUUGGAUGGGCCCGCGUUGGAUUAGCUAGUUGGUAGGGUAAAAGCCUACCAAGGCGACGAUCCAUAGCUGGUCUGUGAGGAUGAUCAGCCACACUGGGACUGAGACACGGACCAGACUCCUACGGGAGGCAGCAGUAAAGAAUAUUGGACAAUGGGCGAAAGCCUAAUCCAGCAGUGCCGCGGGAGUGAUGAAGGCGUUAGGAUUGUAAAGCUCUUUUAGCCGGGAUGAUAAUGACAGUACCGGGAGAAUAAGCUCCGGCUAACUCCGUG
This 433-nucleotide ribosomal RNA is filed under the name uncultured bacterium. Its description in RNAcentral is "partial 16S ribosomal RNA". It matches the Rfam family "Bacterial small subunit ribosomal RNA", at positions 29 to 507 of the family's 1533-position model. The record is from RNAcentral.